RNAcentral lists this long non-coding RNA (3345 nucleotides) under Brassica napus (rape). RNAcentral describes it as "long non-coding RNA (BNAP_LNC017024)". The record is from RNAcentral. Lineage: Eukaryota; Viridiplantae; Streptophyta; Magnoliopsida; Brassicales; Brassicaceae.
AAGUCGGGCAACAAACACUUUUGCUAUGCGCACGGAUUACGCGAAGGCUUUGAGUACGUCAAAGUUAAUGGCAUCCUAAGGGAAGAAUCCCGUCCGUUUGAAGCCAACUGUAGAGAAGAAGUACUUACACGCCAUGGGUCUAACCUCGGCUACAUUGGAGAGGUAGUCUCCUUGACUACUGUCAAAGAAGUUCUUCAGACGCUUCAAAACCACCCUGUUGCUGGAUGCAUUCCCGUCUUUGAACCAGACUACAGCUCUAUUAAUGAUGUAAGUGUAUUAUUCAGUUGUGUCUUGUUCUUUUUCUUGUUCAUAACAAUUUAUGUUAAUUUGGCAGCAACUGUACUACGGCCCUACAUCUCCACUCUCACGUUACGAAACCAUGCAUGCGAUCAGCUUUGUUGGCGCUGGAGGAGUCAAGGAAGGUGAGAAGCAUGUGAAUGCUAGAUCCAGUCACGGUGUUAACUUCGGCAAAGACGGCUAUUUCAAAAUUUGCUUCCAGCACGUGAUAAUCUGCCUCACCCGUGGACACCACAUGAGGUAUCUUGAAGACCCGGUUCUUCUUCCUUGCAGAUUUGUAUACCCAGAGCUCCUAUCUCUAGAAAAGGACAAAGAGAAGAGAAGAGACGACACGAUAUAGAUCUCUUUCUUGGUAUGCCAGAGUUCUUAAAUCUCUUUGAAUUUUUACUUUGAAGAAUCUUAGUUUCACUCAGACUUAUCUUCUUUUCUUUGGACUUUCAGGAGGGUGAUUUUGGCAGUGAAGCUGUAGCUAUGGCUCAUAAACUCUUUUAAUUAUUAGUAUGUUUUCCUACUGUCUGUUGACCUGAACAGCGCUUAGGGUUAUUAUGUGUGUUGGUGGAUCGUUCAUUGAUUUAACAAAGGGUAUGUCUGGAUCUGAGAAGAAGAGGAUUAUGUUUGCUAGAUUUGUCAAAACCUUGUUUCUGAGUAAACGAUCUUUUAGAUAAUAAUACUUCUCUUGGAAAAAUAAAACGUAGCAGUGUCUCACCGGUUAAGGAAGAACAAGAUCAGCUGUCCAGAACAAUUGCAUCAGUGAGUCACAGCAGUAACCUGUUUCUUCAUCAAGCCUGAGACGGCACAUUAAGGCUUGUGGAAGGACAAGGUGCACCCACGGUUGGUUCCAGCUGUUCACACCAUGAGCAUGAGCGUCACAGUCAAGGUAACCACAAAACUUAGUUUGGUAGCCAUUUUCUCUGAAGAUUGAUAUGCUUGAGAUUUGUUUGUGUUUGGUGAUAACCGUAGAGAGUUUAGUUUAUAUAGAGACACUUGGGGCCUUGACUGUUACAUGUAAAUGGUAGAAUGAAAAGGCUAAAGUAAUUACAUAGGAAACUCGUUAACUAGAGAACAUAGUGUCUGGAUUCAAGAGGGUUAACAACAUUACUAGGCUUGAACUUGAGGGACAAAGGCUGUGGUGAAGAGGCAAGAACAUGUUCAUCACCAUUAUUGUGGUCAGAGUCAUUGUCGUCAUCAGAGUAACCUUGGAGCACGUCACCUUCUUGAGGAGUGAAACCAAGAAGAGCACCAAUCAUAGUAGACCAGCACAUGAGAGAGUCCAACGGUUCUGCAACACCCAGGUCCAGUGUAAUAAGUCUCACCGGUUAAGGAAGAACAAGAUCAGCUCUCCAACAGUGUUGAAGCUGCAUCAGUGAGUCCCAGCAGUAACCUGUUUCUUCUUCAUCAGCGGUAGACAAGGCUUGUGGAAGGAGAAGGUGCGUGCACACCAACGGUUGGCUUCAUGAGUGGUCGAGAUGUCACUGUGGGUGAAACCACAAUGAGCAUGAGCAUCACAGUGAAGGUAACCAAGAGACUUGGUUUAGUAGCGCCAUUAGAGAGUUUAGGAAGUGAAUAUGGUUGAGAUUUGUUUUGUGUUUGUGAUGAGAAGUGAGUGAGUGAUAAAACUUAAGAGUGACACUUGGUGCAUUGACAGUUACAAGUAAAUGGUAGAGUGAAAGGGCUAAAAGUAAUUCAAUAAAACAUAAGCUAUGGAUUCAUGGGUUGCAACUGUACUAGGCUUAAAUUUGAGGGAGAGAGGCAGUGGUGAGGAGGCAAAAGCAUGUUCAUCAACAUUCCCACCAAUCAUAGAAUGCAAUGGUAGCCACAGGGAUAGAGUUAUAGAGUUUUGUCUUGAUACAACCCAACUUCUUCAACGUUAUUCUCUCUGAUAAGCCUAUAUGGUGUUAAGCCUGAUUAUCAAGGCAGUGUGUCUUCAUCAGCACUAAAACACACUCAUCAAACUGCGCAAGAGCUACUUCCUGCAAUUCUAUGUGAUUUGGGUUCAAAGCAGUCUCUGUCAGCAUCUCGUUGGCAUGAACCAACUCGUUUUGAUGUGGUUAGAACUGAUUCAGUUUCACAUAUUGAUGGAGUUCCACCACUUGAUGUUUUUUCUUUAGAAUAAAUUAUACUAUCCAUCAAACUGUAUAUCAGUGACAUGCUUUUGACCAAAUUGUGAUUCAAGUUUCAGUUUCCUCCAAAGUUUUGCUAGAUUCCUUUGCACCACAAGAUUCUGGUUUCUUGACAAUAUUGUCCAAUGGAGAACCAAUUUGAUCUGGUGCAAAGCGAAUCAAUAGUUUCUCUCUGCUUUGACAGUUUUUUUGUCAGGGAAUUUUUAAAGGCAAUGAUUUUUUGCUCAAAUUAUUUAUAUUCAUAUUUGUUGGAUUCAUUGGCUUUGAAUGUAACACAGGAAAGAUGCAGAAUAAAUGCAAAACAUUUUAAAUGCAGAUUGGACUGCAAUUUUUUUGCCAUUCAACACAUUUUUUGCAGAUCAAAAAUAAAUAAUUAAAAAAUAAAAAAUCUGCAUGCAGAUCUAAAUUGCACAUAAAUAUUUUGAUCUGCAACUAAGGAAGAAAAAGAGGCUGUACACUUACAGAUCAAUAAUAUAAAUUUAUUUAUAUUGGCUAUUAAUUAUUAAUAGAUAGUCUACUUUGCUAAUUCAUGUUAUUCACUUUGAAACUAAAUAACUAAAUCUUUUAAACAAAAUUUAAUAAUUUCGUUUUAUAAAUAAUUUAUUUUAAAAUGAUUUUAUUUUAUAGAAUUUAAAUAAUUUUAUAAAAAAAGACGAAGGAGAAGUCGGGCAACAAACACUUUUGCUAUGCGCACGGAUUACGCGAAGGCUUUGAGUACGUCAAAGUUAAUGGCAUCCUAAGGGAAGAAUCCCGUCCGUUUGAAGCCAACUGUAGAGAAGAAGUACUUACACGCCAUGGGUCUAACCUCGGCUACAUUGGAGAGGUAGUCUCCUUGACUACUGUCAAAGAAGUUCUUCAGACGCUUCAAAACCACCCUGUUGCUGGAUGCAUUCCCGUCUUUGAACCAGACUACAGCUCUAUUAAUGAU